This is a long non-coding RNA of Oncorhynchus tshawytscha (Chinook salmon), 874 nucleotides long. Lineage: Eukaryota; Metazoa; Chordata; Actinopteri; Salmoniformes; Salmonidae. The record is from Ensembl.
GGGUUGGAGUUACCUACAGGGGGGUCUCUCUCCAGGAACAGGGUUGGAGUUAAAACCUACAGGAGGGUCUCUCUCCAGGAACAGGGUUGGAGUUACCAACAGGAGGGUCUCUCUCCAGGAACAGGUUUGGAGUUACCUACAGGAGGGUCUCUCUCCAGGAACAGGGCUGUAGUUACCUACAGGAGGGUCUCUCUCCAGGAACAGGAUUGGAGUUACCUACAGGAGGGUCUCUCUCCAGGAACAGGGUUGGAGUUACCUACAGGAGGGUCUCUCUCCAGGAACAGGGUUGGAGUUACCUACAGGGGGGUCUCUCUCCAGGAACAGGGUUGGAGUUACCUACAGGAGGGUCUCUCUCCAGGAACAGGGCUGUAGUUACCUACAGGAGGGUCUCUCUCCAGGAACAGGGUUGGAGUUAAAACCUACUGGAGGAUCUCUCUCCAGGAACAGGGUUGGAGUUACCUACAGGAGGGUCUCUCUCCAGGAACAGGUUUGGAGUUACCUACAGGAGGGUCUCUCUCCAGGAACAGGGUUGGAGUUACCUACAGGAGGGUCUCUCUCCAGGAACAGGGUUGGAGUUACCUACAGGAGGGUCUCUCUCCAGGAACAGGGUUGGAGUUACCUACAGGAGGGUCUCUCUUCAGGAACAGGGUUGGAGUUACCUACAGGAGGGUGUCUCUCCAGGAACAGGGUUGGAGUUACCUACAGGAGGGUCUCUCUCCAGGAACUGGGUUGGAGUUAAAACCUACAGGAGGGUCUCUCUCCAGGAACAGGGUUGGAGUUACCUACAGGAGGGUCUCUCUCCAGGAACAGGGUUGGAGUUAAAACCUACAGGAGGGUCUCUCUCCAGGAACAGGGUUGGAGUUACCUACAGGAG